GAUGAACGCUGGCGGCGUGCUUAACACAUGCAAGUCGAGCGAAGCGCUUAAGCUUGAUUCUUCGGAUGAAGACUUUUGUGACUGAGCGGCGACGGGUGAGUAACGCGUGGGUAACCUGCCUCAUACAGGGGGAUAACAGUUAGAAAUGACUGCUAAUACCGCAUAAGACCACAGGAUCGCAUGAUCCGGUGGUAAAAACUCCGGUGGUAUGAGAUGGACCCGCGUCUGAUUAGCUAGUUGGUGGGGUAACGGCCCACCAAGGCGACGAUCAGUAGCCGGCCUGAGAGGGUGAACGGCCACAUUGGGACUGAGACACGGCCCAG
RNAcentral lists this ribosomal RNA (323 nucleotides) under uncultured bacterium. RNAcentral describes it as "bacterial SSU rRNA". It matches the Rfam family "Bacterial small subunit ribosomal RNA", at positions 28 to 334 of the family's 1533-position model. The record is from RNAcentral.